AAUACUCAAAAAUAAAUUACAACUGAAAGUUCUACCUUAAGUAAAUCCAAUCACAUAUUAAAGGUUGCCGCUAAUCUUGAACUGAGCUCAGUAGAGUACUUCCGUGUUUGACUGACUGACUGACU
Molecule: long non-coding RNA, 125 nt
Organism: Haliotis rubra (blacklip abalone)
Lineage: Eukaryota; Metazoa; Mollusca; Gastropoda; Lepetellida; Haliotidae
Exons: 3
Source: RefSeq, a predicted model, not a curated record